CCGGUCGUUGUACACACCGCCCGUCACACCAUGGGAGCGGGAUGUACCAGAAGUAGGUAGGCUAACCGCAAGGGGGCCGCUUACCACGGUGCGUUUCGUGACUGGGGUG
This 109-nucleotide ribosomal RNA is filed under the name uncultured bacterium. RNAcentral describes it as "partial 16S ribosomal RNA". It matches the Rfam family "Bacterial small subunit ribosomal RNA", at positions 1374 to 1482 of the family's 1533-position model. The record is from RNAcentral.